RNAcentral lists this unclassified non-coding RNA (240 nucleotides) under soil metagenome. Its description in RNAcentral is "partial contains 5.8S ribosomal RNA, internal transcribed spacer 2, and large subunit ribosomal RNA". The record is from RNAcentral.
AACACUGUUAACCUGCGGUACCUGCGGAAGGAUCAUUACAGAGUGUUUAACCCCCUAUAAAAUGGUGGGUCUAACCUCCCGUCCUUUGCUGGGUCCCCCUUCUGGAGGACUUUCAAAACUUUCUGCUUCGGCGGGGUAUACCCGCCGGAACACCCUCAGAAAAUUCUUGAUCAAAAUGGUUCGGUCCGAGAAACUUUUUGUGAAAAUUAGCGAAAAACUUUUAACAACGGAUCUCAGAUC